UACAGAGGUCCCAAGCGUUGUUCGGAAUCACUGGGCGUAAAGGGUGCGUAGGCGGCGCGGAAAGUCAGGGGUGAAAUCCCGGGGCUUAACUCCGGAACUGCAUUCCAUACUGCGGUGCUUGAGGACUGGAGAGGAGACUGGAAUUUACGGUGUAGCAGUGAAAUGCGUAGAGAUCGUAAGGAAGACCAGUGGCGAAGGCGGGUCUCUGGACAGUUCCUGACACUGAGGCACGAAGGCCAGGGGAGCAAACGGG
Molecule: ribosomal RNA, 253 nt
Filed under: uncultured bacterium
Lineage: Bacteria
Description: partial 16S ribosomal RNA
Rfam family: Bacterial small subunit ribosomal RNA
Source: RNAcentral